Non-coding RNA from Gekko japonicus, 72 nucleotides. The record is from the annotation of a RefSeq genome assembly. NCBI's taxonomy places the organism in Eukaryota, Metazoa, Chordata, Lepidosauria, Squamata, Gekkonidae.
GGGGCUGUGGCUCAGUGGUAGAGCAUCUGCUCGACAUGCAGAAGGUCCCAGGUUCAGUUCCUGGUGCCUCCA